CUCUACUAGAUUUGACCGCCAACCACACCCCCAGACCGAAUGCAGUUUGAUAGUCCAGCCGUGGAACUGAGAGAUGCACUGGGUGUAAUGGGCGAGGAAUUCACGGACCAGUAAUGGGAACCACAGGAUGUCUCAGAUGACAUUAAUAUAAAUACARCGGCGUACACGUUUCACACUGAACUGCAACAACACGACACAAGUGAUGGCAACUUUCAGCACAGAAGGCUUCUCUUCUCUGCAAAGAUCACUGCAGUGAGUGAACUCAUAUGAAAAAUGGUGAGUGGGUAAGGACUGGAUGCCCUAUAACACAUCCUGCUUGAAUACACAGCCCAAAAACUAUAUAUUUAUGUGUGUGUGUGUGUGUGUGU
Molecule: long non-coding RNA, 368 nt
Organism: Austrofundulus limnaeus
Lineage: Eukaryota; Metazoa; Chordata; Actinopteri; Cyprinodontiformes; Rivulidae
Exons: 3
Source: RefSeq, a predicted model, not a curated record